AUGCAAUCUCUAGUGGAUCUAAAAACUGACAUCUCCUGCCCUUGGACGAUUAUUGGAGAUUUCAACAUCACGCUUAGGCCGUCGGACAAAUCCUCCUCCCACUUCAACAUGAACGAAGCUAAUCUUUUCUCCUCUACUAUUAACACGAUGCAGCUUCAGGACCUCCCUCUACUCGACCGUCGCUUCACUUGGUCGAACCAGCAAGAGGUACCCAUCCUCGUGCGGUUAGAUAGGGCGCUUGCCAACGUCCCAUGGGCUACGAUUUUCCCGGACACUUCACUUUCUUCACUCACUUGUACAACCUCGGACCAUGUCCCCGUUCGCCUUUCGGCCAAAACAACUAUACCCAAAUCUACAGUUUUCCGCUUGGAUCGCUCACUCCUAAACAUACCACUAUUUAGAGAGAAGGUGGCUAUGAAUUGGACAAGCGUGUGUGCCCGUCAUCAUCACCUUGGCGCCGCCGGGGUUCUCUCCCUGAAGUUAAAACGCACUAGAAACAUGGCCAAACAGUGGCUGUCAAACCGACGUUCUCCAAAAAUUCUAGCUCUCAACUGUCAUGCUACUAUCAACUUCCUAGACAAGAUUGAGGAGGCCCGGCCUCUCGCCCACCUAGAGUCUACUCUUCGAAUUGCAGUCAAGCUAUCUCUACACCGCCACAAUGCUGACAUUGCUGCCUACUGGAGGCAACGUGCGAAAAUCAAAGACUGCGUUUUUGGCGACGAAAACUCAGCCUAUAUGCAUAUCUGUGCGUCCGCUAGACAUCGCAAAAAUCAAAUCAAGUCUCUCACUCACGAGGGA
Molecule: ribosomal RNA, 798 nt
Filed under: Triticum aestivum (bread wheat)
Lineage: Eukaryota; Viridiplantae; Streptophyta; Magnoliopsida; Poales; Poaceae
Description: partial small subunit ribosomal RNA
Source: RNAcentral